AGUGAACGCUGGCGGUAGGCCUAACACAUGCAAGUCGAACGGCAGCACAGUAAGAGCUUGCUCUUACGGGUGGCGAGUGGCGGACGGGUGAGGAAUACAUCGGAAUCUACUUUUUCGUGGGGGAUAACGUAGGGAAACUUACGCUAAUACCGCAUACGACCUACGGGUGAAAGCAGGGGAUCUUCGGACCUUGCGCGAUUGAAUGAGCCGAUGUCGGAUUAGCUAGUUGGCGGGGUAAAGGCCCACCAAGGCGACGAUCCGUAGCUGGUCUGAGAGGAUGGUCAGCCACACGAGAACUGAGACACGGUCCAGACUCCUACGGGAGGCAGCAGUGGGGAAUAUUGGACAAUGGGCGCAAGCCUGAUACAGCCAUACCGCGUGGGUGAAGAAGGCCUUCGGGUUGUAAAGCCCUUUUGUUGGGAAAGAAAAGCAGCAGGUUAAUACCACGCUGUUCUGACGGUACCCAAAGAAUAAGCACCGGCUAACUUCGUG
This 492-nucleotide ribosomal RNA is filed under the name uncultured bacterium. Its description in RNAcentral is "partial 16S ribosomal RNA". It matches the Rfam family "Bacterial small subunit ribosomal RNA", at positions 29 to 507 of the family's 1533-position model. The record is from RNAcentral.